GACGAACGCUGGCGGCGUGCUUAACACAUGCAAGUCGAACGGAAAGGCCCUGCUUUUGUGGGGUGCUCGAGUGGCGAGCGGGUGAGUAACACGUGAGUAACCUGCCCUUGACUUUGGGAUAACUUCAGGAAACUGGGGCUAAUACCGGAUAGGAGCUCCUGCUGCAUGGUGGGGGUCGGAAAGUUUCGGCGGUUGGGGAUGGACUCGCGGCUUAUCAGCUUGUUGGUGGGGUAGUGGCUUACCAAGGCUUUGACGGGUAGCCGGCCUGAGAGGGUGACCGGCCACAUUGGGACUGAGAUACGGCCCAGACUCCUACGGGAGGCAGCAGUGGGGAAUAUUGCACAAUGGGCGGAAGCCUGAUGCAGCAACGCCGCGUGCGGGAUGACGGCCUUCGGGUUGUAAACCGCUUUCGCCUGUGACGAAGCGUGAGUGACGGUAAUGGGUAAAGAAGCACCGGCUAACUACGUG
RNAcentral lists this ribosomal RNA (468 nucleotides) under uncultured bacterium. Its description in RNAcentral is "partial 16S ribosomal RNA". It matches the Rfam family "Bacterial small subunit ribosomal RNA", at positions 28 to 507 of the family's 1533-position model. The record is from RNAcentral.